Long non-coding RNA from Octopus sinensis (East Asian common octopus), 993 nucleotides. RefSeq lists it as uncharacterized. The record is from RefSeq and is a predicted model, not a curated record. The transcript is spliced from 7 exons. Lineage: Eukaryota; Metazoa; Mollusca; Cephalopoda; Octopoda; Octopodidae.
UUUCUUUAAUGACCUAAUAAUUAUUAUCUCAAGCUGUGUGAUGUUUGCUUUUUUUUCAUGUUUUUCUUUCCUCAUCCAAUCCUUUCAGUUGCAAGUAUGAAGUGGUGUCUGUGAUGCUGUCCAAGGGUUCUGUUCAGUUGGAUAUUCAAAACAAUCAGAAAAGGACACCAUUGCUUGAAGCCGUUUCCCAGGGUCACCUCGGAAUGACACACAAGCUUAUAGCCCUGGGUGCAAACAUAAAUGCUGUUGAUGGUGAAGGUAACAGCUGUUUGCACCUGGCCGUGGAAAGAAAAGUGUUUGAUUCCAAGGAUGCACCCUUGGAUUUACUAAACGAAUGCUGCACUUCCCUUACCUGAAGAGGAUGAAAUGCUCUCUGGUGUAGUGGUAGGUAGAUAUCUCGCCAGCCAGGGAGCGGACUUUCACCAUAAAAACAACAAAUAUAACACACCAUUUGACCUCAUUAAGGACCCAAAUUUGAGAAAAAUUAGAAGCAUUUUUACCACCACAAUGUUUGUGGUGCAGAAAUAAAGCGGCCACAACAAAAGUUCAUCCAUGUGGACACCUUGUAAUAUGUAAGGGAUGUUCAAACGUUACACUUCAACGAUGUUUGAAGUGCGGGAAACCUGUAACGAGCAGAACUGGAGAUGAGGCUCCAAAGUUUGAAGACAGGUGUGUACAAAUAGAGGCUAUAUGUCAGGAAUUAGGGGCUGCAUCUCAGGCAAUUGGGGCUCCAAAUUGUGAGGACAGGUGUGUACAAACAGAGGCUACAUGUCAGGAAUUAGGGGCUACAUCUCAGGCAAUUGAGAGUCCAGUUCUGAAGGAGAAAGAUCUUCUGAGAGUGGCUAAGAGGUUAGGACGUGAUUGGUGGCAAAUAGGUGAGUAUAUUUGAUUUCUAUAUAUUUUACUUUCACCUGAUCUAUUUUAUUUGUCAGAAUGAAUGAGAACAAGUUACAUUCCUCAUUUCCAAUUGAUAGGUCAUCUGUAUGACAAUUU